AGAGUUUGAUCAUGGCUCAGAUUGAACGCUGGCGGCAUGCUUUACACAUGCAAGUCGAGCGGCAGCGCGGGGGCAACCCUGGCGGCGAGCGGCGAACGGGUGAGUAAUAGAUAGGAACGUGUCCGGGAGUGGGGGAUAACUAGCCGAAAGGUUAGCUAAUACCGCAUAUUCUCUACGGAGGAAAGCGGGGGGAUUCGCAAGAACCUCGCGCUCGCGGAGUGGCCUAUCUCCGAUUAGCUAGUUGGUGAGGUAAAGGCUUACCAAGGCGACGAUCGGUAGCUGGUCUGAGAGGAUGAUCAGCCACACUGGGACUGAGACACGGCCCAGACUCCUACGGGAGGCAGCAGUGGGGAAUUUUGGACAAUGGGGGCAACCCUGAUCCAGCCAUGCCGCGUGCGGGAAGAAGGCCUUCGGGUUGUAAACCGCUUUUAUUCGGAAAGAAGGAGUGGGGGUUAAUACCUCUCAUGACAGACGGUACCGGAUGAAUAAGGACCGGCUAACUACGUGCCAGCAGCCGCGGUAAUACGUAGGGUCCAAGCGUUAAUCGGAAUUACUGGGCGUAAAGCGUGCGCAGGCGGUUCGUUAAGUCAGCUGUGAAAGCCCCGGGCUCAACCUGGGAAUUGCGGUUGAAACUGGCGAACUAGAAUCUGGCAGAGGGGGGUGGAAUUCCCGUGUAGCAGUGAAAUGCGUAGAGAUGUGGAGGAACACCGAUGGCGAAGGCAGCCCCCUGGGCUGAGAUUGACGCUCAGGCACGAAAGCGUGGGGAGCAAACAGGAUUAGAUACCCUAGUAGUCC
RNAcentral lists this ribosomal RNA (795 nucleotides) under uncultured bacterium. Its description in RNAcentral is "bacterial SSU rRNA". It matches the Rfam family "Bacterial small subunit ribosomal RNA", at positions 8 to 796 of the family's 1533-position model. The record is from RNAcentral.